Molecule: ribosomal RNA, 253 nt
Filed under: uncultured bacterium
Lineage: Bacteria
Description: partial 16S ribosomal RNA
Rfam family: Bacterial small subunit ribosomal RNA
Source: RNAcentral
UACAGAGGUGCCAAGCGUUAGGCGGAAUCACUGGGCUUAAAGCGCGCGUAAGCGGACAUUUAAGUGUCUUGUGAAAUCCCACGGCUCAACCGUGGAACUGCUGGGCAUACUGGACGUCUCGAGGCACUCAGGGGCGAGCGGAACAAGUGGUGGAGCGGUGAAAUGCGUAGAUAUCACUUGGAACGCCAAUGGUGAAGACAGCUCGCUGGGGGUGUCCUGACGCUGAGGCGCGAAAGCCAGGGGAGCGAACGGG